Molecule: ribosomal RNA, 159 nt
Filed under: Coccocarpia palmicola
Lineage: Eukaryota; Fungi; Ascomycota; Lecanoromycetes; Peltigerales; Coccocarpiaceae
Description: 5.8S ribosomal RNA
Rfam family: 5.8S ribosomal RNA
About the family: 5.8S ribosomal RNA (5.8S rRNA) is a component of the large subunit of the eukaryotic ribosome. It is transcribed by RNA polymerase I as part of the 45S precursor that also contains 18S and 28S rRNA. Functionally, it is thought that 5.8S rRNA may be involved in ribosome translocation.
Source: RNAcentral
AAAACUUUCAACAACGGAUCUCUUGGUUCCGGCAUCGAUGAAGAACGCAGCGAAAUGCGAUAAGUAAUGUGAAUUGCAAAAUUCAGUGAAUCAUCGAAUCUUUGAACGCAUAUUGCGCCCCUUGGAAUUCCGACGGGCAUACCUGUUCGAGCGUCAUUG